CCUACGGGAGGCAGCAGUGGGGAAUAUUGGGCAAUGGGCGCAAGCCUGACCCAGCAACGCCGCGUGAAGGAAGAAGGCUUUCGGGUUGUAAACUUCUUUUCUCAGGGACGAAGAAAGUGACGGUACCUGAGGAAUAAGCCACGGCUAACUACGUGCCAGCAGCCGCGGUAAUACGGAGGUGGCAAGCGUUAUCCGGAUUUAUUGGGUGUAAAGGGCGUGUAGGCGGGUGCGCAAGUCAGAUGUGAAAACUCAGGGAUCAACCCUGAGCCUGCAUUUGAAACUGUGUUUCUUGAGUGCUGGAGAGGCAAUCGGAAUUCCGUGUGUAGCGGUGAAAUGCGUAGAUAUACGGAGGAACACCAGUGGCGAAGGCGGAUUGCUGGACAGUAACUGACGCUGAGGCGCGAAAGCGUGGGGAGCAAACAGGAUUAGAUACCCCUGUAGUC
Molecule: ribosomal RNA, 443 nt
Filed under: uncultured bacterium
Lineage: Bacteria
Description: partial 16S ribosomal RNA
Rfam family: Bacterial small subunit ribosomal RNA
Source: RNAcentral